CUGACGCUCAGGUGCGAAAGCGUGGGGAGCAACCAGGAUUAGAUACCCUGGUAGUCCACGCUGUAAACGAUGUCGAUUUGGAGGUUGUGCCCUUGAGGCGUGGCUUCCGGAGCUAACGCGUUAAAUCGACCGCCUGGGGAGUACGGCCGCAAGGUUAAAACUCAAAUAAUUGACGGGGGCCCGCCCAAGCGGUGGAGCAUGUGGUUUAAUUCGAUGCAACGCGAAGACCCUUACCUACUCUUGCCAUCCAGAGAACUUAGCAGAGAUGCUUUGGUGCCUUCGGGAACUCUGAGACAGGUGCUGCAUGGCUGUCGUCAGCUCGUGUUGUGAAAUGUUGGGUUAAGUCCCGCAACGAGCGCAACCCUUAUCCUUUGUUGCCAGCGGUUCGGCCGGAACCUCAAAGGAGACUGACAGUGAUAAACUGGAGGAAGGUGGGGAUGACGUCAAGUCAUCAUGGCCCUUACGAGUAGGGCUACACACGUGCUACAAUGGCAUAUACAAAGAGAAGCGACCUCGCGAGAGCAAGCGGACCUCAUAAAGUAUGUCGUAGUCCGGAUUGGAGUCUGCAACUCGACUCCAUGAAGUCGGAAUCG
RNAcentral lists this ribosomal RNA (593 nucleotides) under uncultured Serratia sp. Its description in RNAcentral is "bacterial SSU rRNA". It matches the Rfam family "Bacterial small subunit ribosomal RNA", at positions 740 to 1334 of the family's 1533-position model. Lineage: Bacteria; Pseudomonadati; Pseudomonadota; Gammaproteobacteria; Enterobacterales; Yersiniaceae. The record is from RNAcentral.